This 314-nucleotide unclassified non-coding RNA is filed under the name Hypholoma fasciculare. Its description in RNAcentral is "partial internal transcribed spacer region". The stretch from base 1 to 46 matches the Rfam family "Eukaryotic small subunit ribosomal RNA", at positions 1786 to 1831 of the family's 1831-position model. The record is from RNAcentral. Lineage: Eukaryota; Fungi; Basidiomycota; Agaricomycetes; Agaricales; Strophariaceae.
AAGUCGUAACAAGGUUUCCGUAGGUGAACCUGCGGAAGGAUCAUUAUUGAAUAAACCUGGCUUGGUUGAUGCUGGUCUUUUCGGAGACAUGUGCACGCCUUGUCAUCUUUAUAUCUCCACCUGUGCACUUUUUGUAGACCUGGAUUCAACUUUCCGAGGAAACUCGGUUGUGAGGAAUUGCUUAAUAGGCUUUCCUUGUUAGUUUCCAGGGCUAUGUUUUCAUAUACACCUUAUGAAUGUAACAGAAUGUCAUUAUUAGGCUUAAUUGCCUUAUAAACUAUAUACAACUUUCAGCAACGGAUCUCUUGGCUCUC